AAACAACGUAAUAUCCGAAUGAGAUUGUAUAGU
This 33-nucleotide non-coding RNA is filed under the name Trypanosoma brucei brucei. Lineage: Eukaryota; Euglenozoa; Kinetoplastea; Trypanosomatida; Trypanosomatidae. The record is from RNAcentral.